GGUCUGGUGGCAUCUUUGAGUUCUUGGGGACAUCACCGAAGUGGUCUGGUGGCAUCUUGGGGGUCUUUGAGGUCUUGGGGACAUCCCUGGGGGGUCCUGUCCCCUCCUGGGGGUCUCUGAGGUCUUGGGGACAUCCUCAAGAGGAUCUGGUGACAUCCUGGGGGUCUUCAAAGUCCUGGGGACAUCCCCGGGGGGGGUCUGGUGGCAUCUCAGGGGUCUUCGAGGUCCCCCUGCAGGGGUCUCGUCACCUGGGGACACCCUGAGGUGUCACCUUCCCUGGGGGCCACCGCCCGCAGUGUCCCCGUGUCCCCAGGGCCACCUCCAGUGGUGUCCCCGUGAUCCAGAGGUGUCCCCAUGUCCCCAGGGCCACCUCCAGUGGUGUCCCCAUGUCCCUUCAGGUGUCCCCAUGUCCCCAGGGCCACCUCCAACAGUGUCCCCAUGUCCUAAGGGCCACCUCCAGCAGUGUCCCCAUGUCCCUUCAGGUGUCCCCAUGUCCCUCAGGGCUGUCCCCAUGUCCCUUGAGGGCACCUCCAAUGUUGUCCCCAUGUCCCUUCAGAUGUCCCCAUGUUCCCGGGGCUGUCCCCAUGUCCCUUCAGGUGUCCCCAUGUCCUCAGGGCCACCUCCAAUGGUGUCCCCAUGUCCCUUGAAGCCACCUCCAACAGUGUCCCCAUGUCCCAGAGAUGUCCCCAUGUCCCUUGAGGCCACCUCCAAUGGUGUCCCCAUGUCCCCAGGGCCACCUCCAACAGUGUCCCCAUGUCCCUUCAGGUGUCCCCAUGUCCCUCAGGGCUGUCCCCAUGUCCCCAGGGUUGUCCCCAUGUCCCUUCAGGUGUCCCCAUGUCCCUCAGGGUUGUCCCCAUGUCCCUCAGGGCUGUCCCCAUGUCCCCAGGGCCACCUCCAACAAUGUCCCCACAUCCCCAGAGGUGUCCCCAUGUCCCUCAGGGCCAUCUCCAGCAGUGUCCCCAUGUCCCUUCAGGUGUCCCCAUGUCCCCAGGGCCACCUCCAGUGGUGUCCCCACAUUCCCAGGUGUGUCCCUGUGUCUCCAGAGGUGUCCCCAGAGGUGUCCCCCUGUCCCAGAGGUGUCCCUGUGUCCCCAGAGGUGUCCCCAGAGGUGUCCCAGAGGUGUCCCCAUGUCCCAGAAGUGUCCCCAGAGCUGUCCCCAUGUCCUAGAGGUGUCCCAGAGGUGUCCCCAGAGGUGUCCCCCUGUCCCUCAAGGCCACCACCCCUGCUGUCCCCAUGUUCCCAGAGGUGUUCCCCUGUCCCAGAGGUGUCCCAGAGCUGUCCCCCUGUCCCUCAAGGCCACCACCCCUGCUGUCCCCCUGUCCCAGAGCUGUCCCCCUGUCCCAGAGGUGUCCCCAGAGCUGUCCCCGUGUCCCUCAAGGCCACCACCCCUGCUGUCCCUGUGUCCCAGAGCUGUCCCCCUGUCCCUCAAGGCCACCACCCCUGCUGUCCCCCUGUCCCAGAGCUGUCCCCCUGUCCCAGAGGUGUCCCCAGGGCUGUCCCCGUGUCCCUCAAGGCCACCACCCCUGCUGUCCCUGUGUCCCAGAGCUGUCCCCAUGUCCCAGGGCUGUCCCCCUGUCCCUCAAGGCCACCACCCCUGCUGUCCCCAUGUCCCAGAGGUGUCCCCAUGUCCCAGAGGUGUCCCAGAGCUGUCCCCCUGUCCCAGAAGUGUCCCCGAGCUGUCCCCCUGUCCCUCAAGGCCACCACCCCUGCUGUCCCCCUGUCCCAGAGGUGUCCCCAGGGCUGUCCCCCUGUCCCUCAAGGCCACCACCCCUGCUGUCCCUGUGUCCCAGAGCUGUCCCCGUGUCCCUCAAGGCCACCUCCCCGGCUGUCCCCAUGUCCCAGAGGUGUCCCCAGAGCUGUCCCCGUGUCCCUCAAGGCCACCUCCCCUGCUGUCCCCUCUGCCAUCACCUGUUCCUUCAGCAGCCGCAGCAGCGUCCGGCGCAGCCAGGGCCCCCCGGUGUCCACCA
Parus major (Great Tit) is the source of this 1967-nucleotide long non-coding RNA. The record is from Ensembl. Lineage: Eukaryota; Metazoa; Chordata; Aves; Passeriformes; Paridae.